GAACAAAAAGCCAAAGGGGGACAGCAGAACUACGAAAACACACUGAUAUCAAAUCUGCCUUUGAAGCGCUACAGCAGCUUUGGGCAUUAGCGUAACAACCCGUAGUGGAUCACACCAAUGAGAAAGUUUAUGCUAGAGACCAAGGCCGCCCUGGGUGUCGCGCCCAAGACUGUGGACUGGGACUUCGAAGAAAAGGCUGGCAAUUUGAAAACUAUCAACCACACGCUUUCCGACUAUAAAUCUGCCGUGGAACAGACGAGGUCAGCUUCUCAAAACCUUUUGACAUCAAUGGAGAGUAUGUUGAAAGUACUGGAGACAAUGACACGCGGAAAUGACAUUCCUGACAACGUGAGGGGCGUUGUAGGGGACUUCGCCCAGAUGGUGCAGAAGGCGCACUGCGAGCUCCUCGUGGACUUCAAGAAGACGCUCGAUGACGACGACAGCGUAGCUGAGAUCGAGAGCCUAGCAGGCAAGUGCAAGAGUCUGGAGGCAAGGCGCAGCAAAGUGAUGAAUGAAUACGACGCGUACCGCGAAGCUGUAACCAAGAAAGAGGCAGAGUAUCGAAAGAAAGGUAAAGAUUUGUGUGACUCGAAACUCUACGAGGAGGAAGUUUCCAGGCGUGACAGCCUAAAGGCUGGCUUUCAGAAGAUCGACAAGGAGUUCAAGGAGACGUAUGCCGAGCUGGAGAAGAAGAAGCUGCGCAGCUACAUGGCUGCCCUCUCCACUUACUUGGCAAGCACAUCGCAGUUGAUGGGGUCGAUCCAUAAGGAAAUGGAAUCGACCAAGAGAAAGGCAGACAUGGUCAAAAUCUAGUGAUCUUUUCCGCGGAAACAAGAAAAAUCAGCAUCAGACUGUUGCCGUUCGCUAUUAUGAUUUUCGCCUUGAGUGCUUCAUUAUCCUCUUCGAAACGCGAUACACGUCGAUGAGGGCACGUAAUUCGUGGCUGGCUUUCAGCCUCAUCUGGCACGGUGUCUCGUUCAUCCUCUUGCACUUGUGUGCCUAUGCAUCAGCGGUUGCUAUUACCAACUUUAUGACUAUUAAAAGGGUCCUCUGGUUGAUGCAAUUACACGCGAACCGUGAGGUAGCUGCUAUCGUUGUUUACGCUUGCGUAGAAAGAAAGCGAGGAGAGUCUAUGCAUCAGUAAAACCCGUCCUUUUUUUUUUCUUGUUGAUACAUGAGAAUGGCUGGGAUUCGGUUUUCUUUUGGGGAUUUACUUCCCUGGUGGAGAGCAUCUCAGCGUGGUGUAUCAGGGCCCAGUUCAUCCCGUGCGUGGGGAAGCCAGGGCGAUGCACCGCUGUUUAUGCCGCCGAUCAGGUCCUGGAUGGCACUGCGCCGAAGCGAGCUGAGACAGUGAGCACGCCUGUACCAUUCAUGUGAUGGGCAGAGUGUCCGCGUGACUCCAACGUACCCCACCCGGCCCUCGCACUGCCUAGUAUUGUUGGGAGCCUGAGCCACCUCGAGUGGAAUGCACCAAGUGGCAACGGGCAUGAUGGGAGCGGCUGAGAAGGAACCUGCGGGGCGGGGUGUGGGUGGGUAGGGUUUGAGGCAAGGACCGUGCUCACAUGACUGAGUGGGCGCAUGGCUGUAGCGCAUGUGUCUACGGCUGCUUCGCACUGCGUGAUUGGGCCUGUGACAGGCAGGAUAGAGUGGUGGUUCACUAAUGUUCAAUGGCGGAGAGCGGGCACACGUUGGCGAAUAAAAACCUCGUGUUGACUCUCCACUACCCUCUCUUUUCCCUUCCCCUGACGAAAUCUGGAUAGGACAGGUUAUCGAGGGACUAUUCGCUAUUUUUAUCUUUGUCGCAUGCUUCCGCCUCCGUGCUGGUGAAUAGAAGCAGUGAAUCUACGCUCGAACGAAUCCAAAACUUAUUCUGUGCCAAGCGCUAAAGAGUCGCUGUGAACUGGUUUUC
RNAcentral lists this unclassified non-coding RNA (1909 nucleotides) under Leishmania donovani. RNAcentral's name for it is "gene:LdHU3.21.0070(CDS-product:hypothetical_prote in_conserved)". The record is from RNAcentral. Lineage: Eukaryota; Euglenozoa; Kinetoplastea; Trypanosomatida; Trypanosomatidae.